AUCAAAUGAGAUCAGUGGUGGAGCCACCUCACGCGAAGGAAUGUCUCCAGAAAAUUACACUGUUUAGCUAUACAUUACAACAAUUCCCAUAUGGAAAAGUGCCAAAAAUAUUACUCUAUGAGAUAGAAGAGAACACCAGUGUAGUAUUUAAUCAUACAAGACUAACUUCUUCCGAAAUAACAUAAUGUUGUGAGGAAAAAAGAAUCAAGUCAAAUUCAUUAUGUUUACUUUUCUUUUCUUGUUUUCAGAGAGACGAGUUACAUACUUGAUCACUACUACAUACAGAAUAAUACAAUGAUUUUUAAAAUAACAUAGAAGAAUAUUGAAAACUACCUGUAUUUGAUCAUUUCAGGAAAAAUUAGAACAUCUCCAUCCGAUAGCCCAAUGUCUUCUUCACGUACUUCGCAAAUCGUCAAAACAGUCUACCACAAACAAUCACCCAGCAACAAACACGUUAACCUCAAUAUCACACUUGAAAAGCUAACAUAGUAAAACUACAGACAGCAUUCUAAUUGAUCAUCGAAGUGGAAUUCUCAUAUUGUGUGCUAAUAAUUCAUCCAAUAUGCAUUUAAAAAGCUAAUAAAGUAAACCUACUAAUUGUGCACUCAAAUCAAUCAGCUAACAAUUCUUAUACUGUGUUAUACUUUGAACAUUUCGUGUCCCUAGAAGUUACAAACAAAUGCUCAACAACGUUAUGAGUUAAGAGUCAAAAGACACGUAAAGUAUCCCCGUUUUUGAGUUUCAUACCGAACUAUCAAGUGUGUGAGUUUCAUACUUGAACUAUCACCAAAUGUUUAUUGAAACACACCUCAACUAUUCAAUAAACAUUUGGUGAUAGUUCAAGUAGGAAACUCAAAAAACCCGAAUACUUUAGGUGUACUUUUGACUCUUCACUCAUAAUGUUCUAUACAAUACCGAAAUUUAGUAUCGAUAUGCUAAUUUCUGAAAAAUCCAAUAGAGGUGAAGUUCAUCAAAUGUCUAUUGAAACAGGCCACAACUAUUCGAUAAACAUUUGGUGAUAGUUGAGGUGUGUUUCGAUAUUUAGUAAUAAUUUAAGUAGAAAACUCACACUUAAUAGUUUAGGCAUGCCGAGAUAAUUUAGGCGUAUUUUUAACUCUCCACUCGAAUGCUAUCAAAAAUGCCAAAAUUUAUAGCCGAUUUUGCUAACAUCUGAACCAGAAACUCAGUCCAACAGAAACGAAGUUCAUCACUAACGUCGUUGACUCAAGUGGCCACACUUAACUAUAUUCAAAACACAAGUCCACAAAACAUUUUCAAGUCACUUAUUCACUUCUCAAGUGACCACACUUAACUAAAUUCAUUCACUUCUCAAGUGACCACACUUUACUAAAAUAAAACACAAGUUCACAUUUCAAGUACUUAAAUUCAAAACAAAAUUCACUAAUUCAUAAUUCAAGUAACUACACUUAAACACUUCAAGUCACUAAUUCACUUCCCAAGUUACCAAACUAAACUAAAUUCAAAAUGAAAAGUUUACAUUUUGAGUGUCUACACUUAUUCACUUCUCAAGUGACCACACUUAACUAAAUUCAAAACACAAAUCCACAUUUCAAGUACCUACACUUAAACAUUUUCAAGUCACUAACUCAAUUAUCAAGUGACCACACUUAACUAAAUUCAAAACACAAGUCCACAUUUCAAGUACCUACACUUAAGCAUUUUCGACUCACUAACUAACUUCUCUAGUAACCACACUUAACUAUAUUCAAAACACAAGUCCACCUUUCAAGUAACUACACUUAAACAUUUUCGACUCACUAACUCACUUCUCUGGUGAUCACACUUAACUAUAUUCAAAACACAAGUCCACCUUUCAAGUAACUACACUUAAACAUUUUCGACUCACCAAUUCACUUCUCAAAUGACCACACUUAACUAAAUUCAAAACACAAGUNNNNNNNNNNNNNNNNNNNNNNNNNNNNNNNNNNNNNNNNNNCUUCUCAAGUGACCACACUUAACUAAAUUCAAAACACAAGUGACCACACUUUAGUAAAUUCUACACAUUCAUGACAAACACAUUGUCUUACACAAAGAAACAAAAGCAAUAAAUCCUAUGAAAACAACCCUUAAUUACGGUAAUUGAUUAUGCGCCAAAGGAACUAGCACAAAGGAAACAACCUCCAUUCAUAAAACUGCUAAUUGUAUGCAGACACUAACACAAAGGAAAACUUAGGGCAACUAGUUUUUCAACUAGGUUUCUCAAAAUGAAUAAUCUCUAUAUACAACAAAAAGGAAAAAGCAGGAUACCAUACUGAAAAAAGUGAAUUAGUUAAAGUUAAUACCAUAUCAAGAUUGACAUAAAGCAUUAAUGACUUUUACUAUUUUGUCAUUUGACUACAUAAUCCACAUUAAGCAAACUAAGAAAGAUAAUUAAUGCUACAUUAUAAUAGAAAACCUAGAAAGGAAAACAAGGAACCUUACUAACUCUGCAGCAAUAGAUCUGUAAAAGAAUUUUAAAACCACAAAGUAUUUUCUUGAAAAGCUCAUUUUGCACAAUUCAAUAAUGCAAGCCUCUUAGUUUUACAAGAACUCAGAUCCAACAUACUUACUUGAAUAAAAUUUAGCAAUGAUGGCCACACACAAACAAAUUUGAGAACAUAAGAAAAACAGUCACCUUUCCCCUAAACUGGUGAAGCAAGAAAUACCUCAACUGGCAUCGGCGGUGUUGGCAUGGUUGAUGUUGGGAGGCGGCGCGGGUGCUCUUCCGGCUGAAAUUGCGGCUGGCUCGGAGGCAUCGGGUUUUCUCCGGCUAGGGAAGAGAAGAGGGAGCCGGGAAGAGGGGACGGGGCGGCAUCGGGUUUCUCAGCGGCGGCGGCAGCCAUUGAUGGUUAAAGAGAGGUAGAGAGAGAGAGGGAUGCAAAGAGGGAGGUGACACAAAAGUAGAAUUAAUAAGGGUGAAAGUUCAAAUUUCAUUUAAGUUAUGAUUAAGUUAAU
Molecule: long non-coding RNA, 2955 nt
Filed under: Capsicum annuum
Lineage: Eukaryota; Viridiplantae; Streptophyta; Magnoliopsida; Solanales; Solanaceae
Description: long non-coding RNA (CANN_LNC015442)
Source: RNAcentral